AAGAGACAGCAGCAGCCGCGGUAAUACGGAGGGAGCUAGCGUUGUUCGGAAUUACUGGGCGUAAAGCGCGCGUAGGCGGUUACCCAAGUCAGAGGUGAAAGCCCGGGGCUCAACCCCGGAACUGCCUUUGAAACUAGGUGACUAGAAUCUUGGAGAGGUCAGUGGAAUUCCGAGUGUAGAGGUGAAAUUCGUAGAUAUUCGGAAGAACACCAGUGGCGAAGGCGACUGACUGGACAAGUAUUGACGCUGAGGUGCGAAAGCGUGGGGAGCAAACAGGAUUAGAUACCCGCGUAGUCCCUGUCUCUUAUAC
RNAcentral lists this ribosomal RNA (310 nucleotides) under uncultured bacterium. RNAcentral describes it as "partial 16S ribosomal RNA". It matches the Rfam family "Bacterial small subunit ribosomal RNA", at positions 503 to 807 of the family's 1533-position model. The record is from RNAcentral.